This 395-nucleotide ribosomal RNA is filed under the name uncultured bacterium. RNAcentral describes it as "partial 16S ribosomal RNA". It matches the Rfam family "Bacterial small subunit ribosomal RNA", at positions 338 to 730 of the family's 1533-position model. The record is from RNAcentral.
CCUACGGGAGGCAGCAGUGAGGAAUAUUGGUCAAUGGCCGAAAGGCGGAAGCAGCCAAGGAGCGUGAAGGAAGAAGGACCUAUGGUUUGUAAACUUCUUUUAUAGGGGAAUAAAGGUAUCCACGUGUGGAUAUUUGCAUGUACCCUAUGAAUAAGCAUCGGCUAACUCCGUGUCAGCAGCCGCGGUAAUACGGAGGAUGCGAGCGUUAUCCGGAUUUAUUGGGUUUAAAGGGUGCGUAGGUUGUUUGUUAAGUCAGCGGUGAAAGUUUGUGGCUCAACCAUGAAAUUGCCGUUGAAACUGGCAGACUUGAGUGUGUUUGAGGUAGGCGGAAUGCGUGGUGUAGCGGUGAAAUGCGUAGAUAUCACGCAGAACUCCGAUUGCGAAGGCAGCUUACU